GACGAACGCUGGCGGCGUGCCUAAUACAUGCAAGUCGAACGAGAGCGACCGGUGCUUGCACUGGUCAAUCUAGUGGCGAACGGGCGAGUAACACGUGGGUAACCUGCCCAUCAGAGGGGGAUAACAUCCGGAAACGGAUGCUAAAACCGCAUAGGUCUUCGAGCCGCAUGGCUUGAAGAGGAAAAGAGGCGCAAGCUUCUGCUGAUGGAUGGACCCGCGGUGCAUUAGCUAGUUGGUGAGGUAACGGCUCACCAAGGCCGUGAUGCAUAGCCGACCUGAGAGGGUGAUCGGCCACAUUGGGACUGAGACACGGCCCAAACUCCUACGGGAGGCAGCAGUAGGGAAUCUUCCGCAAUGGACGCAAGUCUGACGGAGCAACGCCGCGUGAGUGAAGAAGGUUUUCGGAUCGUAAAACUCUGUUGUUAGAGAAGAACAAGUGCUAGAGUAACUGUUAGCGCCUUGACGGUAUCUAACCAGAAAGCCACGGCUAACUACGUG
Molecule: ribosomal RNA, 498 nt
Filed under: uncultured bacterium
Lineage: Bacteria
Description: partial 16S ribosomal RNA
Rfam family: Bacterial small subunit ribosomal RNA
Source: RNAcentral